GCAGCUCAGUUGCUUAGAGCGUGGUGCUGAUAAUGCCAAGGUUGCAGGUUCGAUUCCCAUACAGGCUGCA
This is a non-coding RNA of Podarcis lilfordi (Lilford's wall lizard), 70 nucleotides long. The record is from the annotation of a GenBank genome assembly. Lineage: Eukaryota; Metazoa; Chordata; Lepidosauria; Squamata; Lacertidae.